GGGAGAUAUUGGACCGGACCCGAUCCGACGACGACACUAUCCGUUCCCACUCACACCCGCGGUCUCCGCCGAUCGAAGCUUCCGGCGAUGUUCCCGUGCGGCCCCCUGGCGCCGCCGCGCCUUCUCGCCGUCGUCGCGCGGCCGGUCUCCGCGCGGCCGCCGCCCUUGUCGCUGCGCGUGGUGCGGUGCAUGGCGAAGGAGCGGCGGGUGCGGAUGGUGGCGAAGCAAAUCCAGCGGGAGCUCGCGGACAUGCUCACCCGUGACCCCAUCCUGCAGCGCGCCGUGCUCCCCGAGGCCGCGCUCGGCGCUGACCGGUACCUCUCCUCCCUCACCACCAUCGCCGACGUCGAGCUCUCCAACGAUCUCCAGGUGUGCAAGGUGUACGUGUCCGUGUUCGGGGACGAGAGGGGGAAGAAGGUGGCCAUCGAGGGGCUCAAAGCCAAGACCAAGUACGUCAGGAGCCAGAUAGGCAAGCGGAUGAAGCUGCGCCUCACGCCCGAGAUACGGUUCAUCGAGGACGAGUCCAUGGAGCGUGGAAGCAGGAUCCUUGCUAUACUUGACAAACUAAAGGAGGAAAGGGAACAACAAGAAGGAAAUGAUGGAGAAGAAGAUGCAGAAGGUUCAAAUAUAUCAGAAGAAGAAGAUGGUGACUGGGACGCAGACGAGCCAGAUGAGGAGGAUAUCAUUUAUGUAAAAUAGCCAAUUGUGUGUUCUUGGAACUUGGUUGCUAUUCAUCCUUCCUCAGAACACAGCAGCUUAUGUGUUCAGUUCUUUUAGAGUUCGAUCCUGCGAAGUUGAGAACUUACUGCUCACCUGCUUGACAAGGUGCUCCGGAGUAUCUCAGCACUUGAAGCAGGCCAUAUCACAUCUUUGUUGCUGAUUAGAAGCAGGCCAUAUCCUCUUUCUCAUGGUUGUAAGUCCGGAGGAUAUUUUGAAGGGGAAUUCGGAAGACAUAUCAUCAUAUUCAGUUUGCUAGAUUAUGGUAUCUGACCAUCGAUGAAAGGCAGUUUUGACUGAUGUUCAUCUUUGUUUUAUGUUGACUAGGACUUGUUAUAUGUGUUCCUGAUAUGUCUACUUAUCUUACUAAAUAUCAAUUUUCAUUUUAUUAUAUGGUCAGGAACAGUCUUGUACCUCUUUCCCUAAGUUAUUAUGUAAUAGAUAAUAUCAGUUUGAUGUAAUGAUAAAGGAACACUUUUCGAUC
Phragmites australis (common reed) is the source of this 1201-nucleotide RNA transcript. It is a transcript of the gene named probable ribosome-binding factor A, chloroplastic, with no coding region annotated. Lineage: Eukaryota; Viridiplantae; Streptophyta; Magnoliopsida; Poales; Poaceae. The transcript is spliced from 4 exons. The record is from RefSeq and is a predicted model, not a curated record.